CAAGGGCCCAGUGUCUCUACCGCGAGCGCCGCAAACUCGUAGUCCUUAAGUAAGGACGAAUAUUUGCGGCGCUUGAGAACCUGGGCCUGGUCAGCCGCGCCGCCGGCCUGGGUGCGGGUCGCCUGGAUAUGGGACUGUGCGAAGGUAUCUACGCAAGUUGCGUCCCACACCAGGGCCCUACCUAGUUUCCACGGCACCAAUGUGGCCCCGUCGGGGCGCCUGCCAUCGUCCCUCGCCAUGCCCGCGGGUUCGAGAAUCGCAGGCACAGACGCGGUGGCAAGCGACCGACGGACCAAAUCAUUGAUGGUACCGUGGCGAAAUAGGCGGCCGGCGCUUUUGGGGCAUGAAAGGCCAUGCAUGUCGGCCCAGCUGAUCGACGUUUUUGCCACAGGCGCAAGUGUGAGGGACACAUAUUUUGGACCCAAGCCUUAAGCAUAUAGCUAUUCUCAAGUUACUUGGGUCCAAAACGGUGCCUAUUUGACGGGAAGGGAGUGCUCGUAGCCAAUGGCCCGACUCGGGGGCUGAUACGGCUAGAAUUCGGGCACGUUCGAAGUCGUCCGGACUAUCCUGAAGAAGUGUGGUAUGAGCUGCUUUUAAGGGAGGGGAGUCCCAAGCCCGCUGAAUGUGACGGGCGACUGGGAUGUCCUCACCCGGACACGACUCACACCAGGCCUCCCUGGCCUCACUUAGAUUCGCUAUCUCAUCGUCAGGUAUCUGAGGAAGGUUUAAAAUAAUACCGACGAGAGAUAGCGAGCCGUAUACUGAGGACAGGAACGCGGGUAGAGCCAAACUGGCCGAAGUGCGAACGCCCAGUCCACCCAGCCUUAUGGGUAGAACCGCUUGGGUCCAUGAACUAUUGUCGAGAUGAAUGUUCAGUGUUUUGGAAAGGCUUGCCUGAAGGGAGGAGUCUAUGGAAGACAGGAUGGACGGAAAUUUCCAAAUUGGGCAACUGCGGAGUAAAUACAUAAAUUUGGGUGUAAAUAAGCAAAAACGAAUGAUGAAAAGAGCCAUAUGGGGAUUUAUUUUAAAUAGGAGGUCUGAUGUAUUAUUGAAUAAAUUUAAUUUACAGUUAAUGACGGGUGCGAUUGAUUCGUCAAAAAUUGGUGAGCCUAAAAGGGUGAGGGAUGUUUUUGAAUGAACGGAAAUAUUAGGUAAAACUGCGUUAAAAUUUGUUAGUAUAUCUAUUUUUGUAUUCAAUGGAACGUGAUCUGGAAUAAAAAUUUCGCAUUUAGUGAAAUUUAAUGCAAGCCCGAUUUUCGAAAAUUUAUCUAUGAUAGAUUGUAUAUCUUGUAGUACGGUUAGUGCGUCUCCGCCAAGGGAGCCGUCAUCUAAGUACCAACAAUUGAAUUUUGAAUUUAGACUAGAGAUGAUGGGGUGAAUGACCAAACUAAAAAUGGCAGGCCCAAGCGGAUCUCCCUGUUGGCAGCCCAUACUUGACAAGAUAAUAUCAUUUCCAAAAAGUAAUUUUGAAGGUGCUCCGUAGCAUUGCCAAAUGUAUUUGUAAAGUUCUGGUAGCUCUUUUUUUACUUCUGCUAACAGAGCACCGCGGUCGACCGAAUUAAAUGCAUUUUUGACAUAACUGUAGUAUGUUCUAAUAGCACCGCACUUAAUAGACGUUUUGUAAUGUUUAAAAAGUUUACUACUGGUCAGCUAACUGAGUUGAUCUGUAAAGUGUGCUCUGCGGGGCAGUUUGAAACACUUACGGGGCACUUUGAUUCACGUGCCAAAGUACCCCAAAACGAUGUAUCAAAGUGUCCCAUGUAAUGUAUCAAAGUGUUUAGAGUUCAUUUUGAGGCCUAAAAUCGAUUUCAAAAAAAGGUGUACCAAGCUGCCCCGCUUCCCCCUACGGAUGUGAUUAGUUGAACCAUAAACAUUAUAAUUUUUAAGAAAAAAAAUACCGAUUUCUAUGGGGGCCGGUGAAAGAUUAUUGUAGAUGGUGCACUAUGUAGAAAAGGAGGUAAAACCACCCACUUUUCUAGUAGCAUUUCGUUUCUGUAAGGGUCUUAGUUCUAGCCUAACCUAACCCACUUCUCUGAUAGCAGUUCGGUUCUGUGAGGAUCGCAGUUCGAACCUAAACAAACCCACUUUUCUAGUAGCAUUUCGUUUCUGUAAACCUAACCUAACCCACUUAACGGCUUUUUUGGAAUAUAAUAUUAGUCAAUAAAAAUCGUUUGCUAAAUAAUUUUUUGUCCUAACAACAUUUGACAAAGUAAAAUCAUGCCAAGUGAUAAUUUGACCAAAUAAAUUAUAUGCGAAGUGUAACUUUGCUAAAGGUUCCUUUGGGAAAUGAAACUAUUGCGAUAAGUUUGUUGGGAAGUGAAAUUUGGCAAAAGGUAUUUGGCCCAAACGAAAGUACACCAUAGAAUAGAGAUAGUUUGACUCCCGGGGAACGACAAAGAGUUAUUUUCAUUCAAGAAAUCACCCUUUAACUGAUUGAAUAAAAUAAUAGCUACCUACCUAAAUUAAUAAUUCCACGCUGACGAAGUCGCGGGCAAAAGCUAGUAUAUAUAUAACAGUAAGCUACAGAGAUGAGCCACUGAAAAUAUCAUUGAUACACAAUUAGACACCUAACCUAUUUUUGUAAGGAUAUAUUAUUAUCACUGCCAAAAGAAGGUUAAAGGUGCCCUCUAGCGUUCCGGGAGUGGGCAGUCAACGUGAAAAAUGUUCAAAUGCUGGAAAGUGCAGGGGUCAAAAUGUCCAUACGGAACCGGCUGUCUAUGUGGCAAAAAGUAGGUAGGUUAGGUUCGUUAGGUAGCUUCAGAUGCCCGAAGGGCAAACCGCCGAGAAAUAGGAGCCCCGCGAAGCGGGGCUCCGUCUAGUUACGUCUAGUUGCAUAGACAGCCGGUUCCGUAUGGACAUUUUGACCCCUGCACUUUCCAGCGUUUGAACAUUUUUUAACGUUGACUGCCCACUCCCGGAAUGCCCUCUAGUAGUAGAAGGUAUUGUCAUACAAUGAAUGGUAUUAUAAUUUUUUUUUUCAUAUAUAUACUAUGGACAUUCCUCGAUGGCAUCAAGUUGCAACCGGAAAGCGAUGAUCACACGGCAAAUCAAAUCCUGAAGACUAUAGCAGCCACGUCAAAGAAAGAUAUACCUAUCUACCUACCUACCUACCUACCUAUUAAAAAAAAUGUUUAUUCUUUCUCGUUUGAUAUGGAGUGCGCAAAAGAAUUGCACGACCUGAUCCCAGCUUUCCCUUUCCGGACGUCCAGGCGCGAGGAGCGAAUGCACCCGUUCGUUGUUAAUAUUCCAUUUGUCCGCACAAAACGAUUUGCCUCAUCUUUUUUGGUAAGGACGAUUAAGGAAUGGAAUGCGCUUCCGUCAUCUGUGUUUCCUGGGAAAUUUGACCUCGGUCUCUUUAAAGCAAGAGUGAAUAGGCUAUUACUUACUGAGCCGGUAAGCUCCAUCAUCUUAGGCUCUGUUUUCACUUUCCAUCAGGUGUGACUAGAGCCAAUGCCCGUUCAGUUUAUUAUAAAAAAUAUAUAUACAAAGAG
This is a long non-coding RNA of Cydia splendana, 3491 nucleotides long. RefSeq lists it as uncharacterized. The transcript has 2 exons. Lineage: Eukaryota; Metazoa; Arthropoda; Insecta; Lepidoptera; Tortricidae. The record is from RefSeq and is a predicted model, not a curated record.